RNAcentral lists this ribosomal RNA (497 nucleotides) under uncultured bacterium. RNAcentral describes it as "bacterial SSU rRNA". It matches the Rfam family "Bacterial small subunit ribosomal RNA", at positions 26 to 507 of the family's 1533-position model. The record is from RNAcentral.
UGGCUCGAGGAUGAACGCUAGCGGCAGGCCUAACACAUGCAAGUCGAGGGGCAGCAUAAAAUUAGCUUGCUAAUUUGGUGGCGACCGGCGCACGGGUGCGUAACGCGUAUGCAACCUACCUUAUACGUGGGGGAUAGCCCGGAGAAAUUCGGAUUAAUACCCCAUAGUAUUGUUAAAUCGCAUGGUUUGAUAAUUAAAGGUUACGGUAUAAGAUGGGCAUGCGUCCUAUUAGCUAGAUGGUGAGGUAACGGCUCACCAUGGCGACGAUAGGUAGGGGGCCUGAGAGGGUGGUCCCCCACACUGGUACUGAGACACGGACCAGACUCCUACGGGAGGCAGCAGUGAGGAAUAUUGGUCAAUGGGCGCAAGCCUGAACCAGCCAUGCCGCGUGCAGGAAGAAUGCCCUAUGGGUUGUAAACUGCUUUUAUUUGGGAAUAAACCUCUUUACGCGUAGAGAGCUGAAGGUACCAAAUGAAUAAGCACCGGCUAACUCCGUG